UACAGAGGUCUCAAGCGUUGUUCGGAUUCAUUGGGCGUAAAGGGUGCGUAGGUGGCGCGGUAAGUCGGGUGUGAAAUUUCGGAGCUUAACUCCGAAACUGCAUUCGAUACUGCCGUGCUUGAGGACUGGAGAGGAGACUGGAAUUUACGGUGUAGCAGUGAAAUGCGUAGAGAUCGGAAGGAAGACCAGUGGCGAAGGCGGGUCUCUGGACAGUUCCUGACACUGAGGAACGAAGGCGAGGGGAGCAAACGGG
This 253-nucleotide ribosomal RNA is filed under the name uncultured bacterium. RNAcentral's name for it is "partial 16S ribosomal RNA". It matches the Rfam family "Bacterial small subunit ribosomal RNA", at positions 524 to 776 of the family's 1533-position model. The record is from RNAcentral.